AGGAUCAUUAAAGAAAUUUAAUAAUUUUGAAAAUGGAUUUUUUUGUUUUGGCAAGAGCAUGAGAGCUUUUACUGGGCAAGAAGACAAGAGAUGGAGAGUCCAGCCGGGCCUGCGCUUAAGUGCGCGGUCUUGCUAGGCUUGUAAGUUUCUUUCUUGCUAUUCCAAACGGUGAGAGAUUUCUGUGCUUUUGUUAUAGGACAAUUAAAACCGUUUCAAUACAACACACUGUGGAGUUUUCAUAUCUUUGCAACUUUUUCUUUGGGCAUUCGAGCAAUCUCGGGGCCCAGAGGUAACAAACACAAACAAUUUUAUUUAUUCAUUAAAUUUUUGUCAAAAACAAGAAUUUUCGUAACUGGAAAUUUUAAAAUAUUAAAAACUUUCAA
RNAcentral lists this unclassified non-coding RNA (383 nucleotides) under Saccharomyces cerevisiae (brewer's yeast). Its description in RNAcentral is "sequence contains 18S rRNA gene, ITS1 and 5.8S rRNA gene". The record is from RNAcentral. Lineage: Eukaryota; Fungi; Ascomycota; Saccharomycetes; Saccharomycetales; Saccharomycetaceae.